Zootermopsis nevadensis is the source of this 1220-nucleotide non-coding RNA. NCBI's taxonomy places the organism in Eukaryota, Metazoa, Arthropoda, Insecta, Blattodea, Termopsidae. The record is from RefSeq and is a predicted model, not a curated record.
ACACUAAUUUGCAUUCCCUCAGAAAUAUAUAUCUUAAUUAAAUUUAAUAUGUUUUUAUGUAUAUAGUUAACAAAGUCACAGUGAACAUAUUAGGGUUAUUGUGAGAGCAUUAAAAACAUCUGAAAGUAGUAAAUGUCGUUCAUUUUUUAUGACAAAGAACUAGUAAUUAUCUUAAUUCAUAGAAAUCUAUCGAUUACAGCUUACGCAAUUCUAUGUGAAUUUCUUUAUUUUCUAGGUAUGUAAAACAAACGGAAUCCCGCUUUGUUGUUGUUGUUCCUGAUUAAUUGCUGCUGAACUUUACUGGGUGACGCUGUUUGACCACUCUGUGUUGGUUGGUCCCGUCACUGGCUGCGUGCCCUCAAGCUGCUGGCUGGAUCGACAUCGAGUGGACAACGGGUAGAGUACAUGACGAUGUUCAUCUACGUUGUUAAACCACGUGGGAUUGUAGAAGCCGUGUCCCAGCAGGUGUACCUGACUCUCCAGUGCAGACGCACGUGCCGAGGUCGGUAAGCCAGCGGACUUUCCGUCGGAGCUAAACCAGUUCCUCAGCCGGCGAGCUUCUGAGUACGACGCGGAUGUGGAGUGGCUCUUCCAACGGAACACAACGUUCGUCGACUUCAUGGAAUUACUCACAUCUCAGUUGCUGGUGCUGUUGCUGCCGGGAAGCUGCGACCCUCUGUCACUGUCCACUGCAUCUUGCAAAAGCCGAAAAACAGCCCAAGUCUGGAAGAGGGUGAGCGGCGGUGGUUUGACCGGUGUCCACCGCAGAUGGAAGAUUGGGGGGAGGGGGAGCGCAUCAAACAUCUCUGCAGCAUCAGCUUGGUGCGUGCAGGGCUGCAGCAAGCAGAGGUAUUCUUCUCGAUCUGGACCAACUGUUUAAUAGUUACCAAACAAGCUUACCAACUCAUUCCAACGCAGCCAGAAAAAAUCCCCAUUCGAUUCUACUUGUAGAAGAUGAUGUUCCCACGUUUCCAGAUUCGUUAAGACAAGACAGGCAACUGGAACAACUGUCUCUCGUCGUUCUCAGGGCCAAGAAGAUGGAUCGGUGGGUUAAGUUGCAGACGUGCUGGGGUUCACCGCCGACAGCCGUAGCUGGAAGAUGGUUUUAUUUGGAGUUCCUACAAGACUAGUGAUCCGGGCUAAAUCUAUGGCGUAACACGUGUGGACGGAUAAGGACCAGUUCCUGCAGACGAAAGCACUGUGAACCGGAUGUCAAGUGA